AUGGAGAGCUAUUAUGACGGUGCCAGCGGCAGGGAGAGAAGCCACAGCAGAGGAAGUCUUUCAGCAAGGGCCCCACAGUGUCCCGUCUCUGCAGCUGGAGCUCUGCGGCGUCCAGGCUCUGAGACCACCUCGGCUACAGUCAGGCAGCCUUUUGUGACCCCCAUCGUCAUCACCUCUGCUCAGGUAGGAGGUCAACUGAGGCAUCUCUUUCUGCCUUGACUUCAUUUAUUCAUUCAACAAACACAUGCCUAGAGCCUACUAUUUCCCAGGCACUGUGCUGGGUGUUGGUGUGACACAGAUUCAAUACCUAGGGGUAAGGAACUGAGGUGACAGCCGGGGAGACCAACAAUCCCCUUUGAAGGGGACAAUGCACUUAAACACCCAGAGGCCAGAUCAAGGGCCAGGCCGGACUCCAGAAUGCCUGGCUUCUGAGGAGGAGGUCGAGCUGUUUACCUGGACUGGGAGGGUUAACAGGGGAGCGGGAGUCCAAAUUGGGCUUUGGGGGCUUGUGGGAGCAGCAGCGGGGAGG
This 529-nucleotide long non-coding RNA is filed under the name Sus scrofa (pig). Its description in RNAcentral is "lncRNA (ENSSSCG00055008040.1)". The record is from RNAcentral. Lineage: Eukaryota; Metazoa; Chordata; Mammalia; Artiodactyla; Suidae.